AUCAUGGGAACAUAAGCCUUAUGGAUCGUCAAGUCAACAACUCACCUCCAGCUCCUGGUCUAAACGCCGCAGAGCGCUCAGCAACUCCGGGUUCUCCUCAGCCAUGAUCGCAGAUGUGGGCAGUUGGGCAGAGUGCGGGUAAGUAGACCUCCCAACAGGCUGACGGCUGGAGCACGGAAUCUCAGGACAUCGGCGCCCGCGGUUUGCCAGGUCAAUGAGAAACGAAGCACGGCCAGCAGUCGCGCACACAGCGAGAGGGACGAUCGGGUUGGCUCCAGUGGUAUGGUGCCAGGAACGGAGGCUGAAACACGAAACGGUCCGCGCACAAACGUUUUGCGGAGGAAAUGAUCAAAGGAUGACGGACUUU
Molecule: small RNA, 367 nt
Filed under: Histoplasma capsulatum
Lineage: Eukaryota; Fungi; Ascomycota; Eurotiomycetes; Onygenales; Ajellomycetaceae
Also listed under: 1 other name
Description: hypothetical RNA
Source: RNAcentral